This 510-nucleotide ribosomal RNA is filed under the name uncultured bacterium. Its description in RNAcentral is "bacterial SSU rRNA". It matches the Rfam family "Bacterial small subunit ribosomal RNA", at positions 28 to 508 of the family's 1533-position model. The record is from RNAcentral.
GAUGAACGCUAGCGACAGGCCUAACACAUGCAAGUCGAGGGGCAUCGGGGCGUAGCAAUACGCUGCCGGCGACCGGCGGAUGGGUGAGUAACGCGUAUGCAACCUACCUUCAGCAGGGGGAUAGCCCGUUGAAAGACGGAUUAAUACCCCAUAACACAGGGGCUCCGCAUGGAGAUUAUUGUUAAAGGGAUGCUUCCUUCGGGGAGUAUUCCGGCUGCAGAUGGGCAUGCGUUCCAUUAGGUAGUUGGUUGAGGUAACGGCUCACCAAGCCUACGAUGGAUAGGGGAACUGAGAGGUUGGUCCCCCACACUGGUACUGAGACACGGACCAGACUCCUACGGGAGGCAGCAGUGAGGAAUCUUGGUCAAUGGACGGAAGUCUGAACCAGCCAUGUCGCGUGAAGGAGGACGGCCCUAAGGGUUGUAAACUUCUUUUGCAGGGGGAAUAAAGGUAUUCCACGAGAUGGGAUAUUGCAAGUACGCUGCGAAUAAGGAUCGGCUAACUCCGUCG